CCUACGGGAGGCAGCAGUAGGGAAUUUUCGUCAAUGGGCGCAAGCCUGAACGAGCAAUGCCGCGUGAACGAGGAAGGUCUUCGGAUCGUAAAGUUCUGUUGAAGGGGAAAAAGAGAGGCGAGAGGAAAUGCUUUCUGAGUGAUAUUACCCUUCGAGGAAGUCACGGCUAACUACGUGCAAGCAGCCGCGGUAAUACGUAGUUGGCGAGCGUUAUCCGGAAUGAUUGGGCGUAAAGGGUGCGUAGGCGGCCUGCUAAGUCUGGAGUGAAAGGUACCGGCUCAACCGGUACAGGCUCUGGAAACUGGCGGGCUAGAGAGCAGUAGAGGGCGGUGGAACUCCAUGUGUAGCGGUAAAAUGCGUAGAUAUAUGGAAGAACAUCAGUGGCGAAGGCGGCCGCCUGGCCUGUUAACUGACGCUGAGGCACGAAAGCGUGGGGAGCAAAUAGGAUUAGAUACCCCUGUAGUC
RNAcentral lists this ribosomal RNA (465 nucleotides) under uncultured bacterium. RNAcentral describes it as "partial 16S ribosomal RNA". It matches the Rfam family "Bacterial small subunit ribosomal RNA", at positions 338 to 795 of the family's 1533-position model. The record is from RNAcentral.